ACAGUUGGUCGGUUUGUCGCUGGCACUUCGGUGCGAGAGGAAAGUCUGAGCAACACAGAGCAUCCCCCUUCCUAACGGGAAGUAGCUUGUGAAGGUUAAGUAACGCAGAAGAAAAUAACCGCCUCUUCGGAGGUAAGGGUGAGAAGGUAAGGUAAGAGCUUACCAGCUGUAUGGCGACAUACGGGCUGUGCGUCUGGGGAGUUGUAAGGUCAUGUAUACCGACAUAAAAAGAGCUGCUCGCUCAACGUCGGAGGGUAGACUGCUCGAGCAUAAUGGUGACAUUAUGCCUAGAUAAAUGACAGACACUUUAUAUUUAUAUAAGGUACAGAACUCGGCUUAUAGACCAACUGUUUUU
Bacteroides coprosuis DSM 18011 is the source of this 355-nucleotide non-coding RNA. It matches the Rfam family "Bacterial RNase P class A". From Rfam's summary of the family: Ribonuclease P (RNase P) is a ubiquitous endoribonuclease, found in archaea, bacteria and eukarya as well as chloroplasts and mitochondria. NCBI's taxonomy places the organism in Bacteria, Pseudomonadati, Bacteroidota, Bacteroidia, Bacteroidales, Bacteroidaceae. The record is from Rfam.